This 585-nucleotide ribosomal RNA is filed under the name fungal endophyte. RNAcentral's name for it is "eukaryotic LSU rRNA". The stretch from base 186 to 339 matches the Rfam family "5.8S ribosomal RNA". The record is from RNAcentral. Lineage: Eukaryota; Fungi.
GGAGGGAUCAUUACUGAGUUUACGCUCUAUAACCCUUUGUGAACAUACCUAUAACUGUUGCUUCGGCGGGUAGGGUCUCCGUGACCCUCCCGGCCUCCCGCCCCCGGGCGGGUCGGCGCCCGCCGGAGGAUAACCAAACUCUGAUUUAACGACGUUUCUUCUGAGUGGUACAAGCAAAUAAUCAAAACUUUUAACAACGGAUCUCUUGGUUCUGGCAUCGAUGAAGAACGCAGCGAAAUGCGAUAAGUAAUGUGAAUUGCAGAAUUCAGUGAAUCAUCGAAUCUUUGAACGCACAUUGCGCCCGCCAGCAUUCUGGCGGGCAUGCCUGUUCGAGCGUCAUUUCAACCCUCAAGCUCUGCUUGGUGUUGGGGCCCUACAGCUGAUGUAGGCCCUCAAAGGUAGUGGCGGACCCUCCCGGAGCCUCCUUUGCGUAGUAACUUUACGUCUCGCACUGGGAUCCGGAGGGACUCUUGCCGUAAAACCCCCAAUUUUCCAAAGGUUGACCUCGGAUCAGGUAGGAAUACCCGCUGAACUUAAGCAUAUCAAUAAGCGGAGGAAAAGAAACCAACAGGGAUUGCCUCAGUA